UACGGAGGGUGCAAGCGUUAAUCGGAAUUACUGGGCGUAAAGCGCGCGUAGGUGGUUUGGUAAGCGAGAUGUGAAAGCCCCGGGCUUAACCUGGGAACGGCAUUUCGAACUGUCAGACUAGAGUGUGGUAGAGGGUAGUGGAAUUUCCUGUGUAGCGGUGAAAUGCGUAGAUAUAGGAAGGAACACCAGUGGCGAAGGCGGCCACCUGGUCAGAAACUGACGCUGAGGUACGAAAGCGUGGGGAGCAAACAGG
This 253-nucleotide ribosomal RNA is filed under the name uncultured microorganism. Its description in RNAcentral is "partial 16S ribosomal RNA". It matches the Rfam family "Bacterial small subunit ribosomal RNA", at positions 524 to 776 of the family's 1533-position model. The record is from RNAcentral.